RNAcentral lists this unclassified non-coding RNA (377 nucleotides) under uncultured Oligoflexaceae bacterium. Its description in RNAcentral is "contains 16S-23S intergenic spacer region". The record is from RNAcentral. Lineage: Bacteria; Pseudomonadati; Bdellovibrionota; Oligoflexia; Oligoflexales; Oligoflexaceae.
UCCGGUUUAACACCGGCAGUCUCCCUAGAGUCCCCAACUUAAUGCUGGUAACUAAGGACAGGGGUUGCGCUCGUUGCCGGACUUAACCGAACAUCUUACGACACGAGCUGACGACAGCCAUGCAGCACCUAUCACCCAGUCCCCGAAGGGAAGACCCCAUCUCUGAGGCUGUCUGGGGAUGUUAAGCCCAGGUAAGGUUCUGCGCGUUGCUUCGAAUUAAACCACAUACUCCACCGCUUGUGCGGGCCCCCGUCAAUUCCUUUGAGUUUUAGCCUUGCGACCGUACUCCCCAGGCGGAUUACUUAAUGCGUUAGCUUUGGUACCCAGACGGUUAAACAUCCGGACACCUAGUAAUCAUCGUUUACGGCGUGGACUAC